RNAcentral lists this long non-coding RNA (327 nucleotides) under Capsella rubella. RNAcentral's name for it is "long non-coding RNA (CRUB_LNC001198)". Lineage: Eukaryota; Viridiplantae; Streptophyta; Magnoliopsida; Brassicales; Brassicaceae. The record is from RNAcentral.
UUUUCAUAAAAAUAUUAUUAAAUAAUACAAAUUUAACCAAUAAAAAAAUAUAAUGUAAAAUAUGAUUGGUUAAAAAAUAUUAAAUAUAUUAAAUUUUGUGUUAAAUUUUGAAAACAUCAUUUAUAUUCUUAAACAAAUUUUUUUUUUUUGCUAAAAUACUUUAAAAGAACCGAAAGGAGUAUAUUAUAUUUUUAGUAUGUGUAUAAAUUACAAAUCAAUUUAAAGAGCGUUUACCAGGAAUCAUCUUACAUGCAUAUAUAGCUCUCUUAUUUUUCUUUCUUGUUGUUAUGUUCUUGGAGACUAAAGUCUUCAGUCGUAGAGUAAAAU